RNAcentral lists this long non-coding RNA (247 nucleotides) under Physcomitrium patens. RNAcentral describes it as "long non-coding RNA (PPAT_LNC014467)". The record is from RNAcentral. Lineage: Eukaryota; Viridiplantae; Streptophyta; Bryopsida; Funariales; Funariaceae.
UGGUCGUUCAGGUUCUCCAAGGGUCCCUUUCCGGUGACGAUAGCCUGGACAAAGAAUCCGAACAUCGAGAACAUGGCCAGACGACCGUUCUUGAUUUCCUUGACCUUUAACUCCGCAAAGGUGUCGGGGUCAUCGGCCAAGCCCAAGGGGUCGAAUGAGCCACCAGGGUAGAUGGGGUCAGUCACCUCACCCAAAGGCCCACCGGCAACACGGUAGCCCUCGACGGCUCCCAUCAAGAUAACUUGAC